RNAcentral lists this long non-coding RNA (913 nucleotides) under Triticum aestivum (bread wheat). RNAcentral's name for it is "long non-coding RNA (TAES_LNC010397)". The record is from RNAcentral. Lineage: Eukaryota; Viridiplantae; Streptophyta; Magnoliopsida; Poales; Poaceae.
UCUGGAGCUUUAUGUGAUAUUCCUUAUUCAAUACUACACUUUCCCUCUUGAACUGCAAAAUCAAAGUCAGGAGCAACAUGCUUACAAAUAUGUCCUGAAUAAGGAAUAAAAACAAAUCAAAGACCCUGCAUUAGAACGGAUUCUAGCUAAAACAAUUAAAUAGUAGAUUACACAUCAAAUCCAUUUUUUAAUUAAAAAUAUACCAUAUUUAGAAUUAGUAGGCCGUUGUUUAUCUUAGCGUAAUAAUACACCUCCUGGUGUAUACCAAAUAUUAACAUCCCAAUUGAAAUGAGACAUCGUAAACCACAUACAUUUGCAGAUGCUAAUGAGAAUAAAUGCAGUAAGUAGUCCGUUUGUUAGGUGUGAGACAAUGCAUCUUCUUGUGUUUUCUGAAAGGUGGCUCGAAUGAUGCUUCCAUGGAAUUUUACCUUCCACCAGUGACGUAAUAUUUUUUUCGACGGGCGGUGAUGUAAAUUUGCCGUCUCUGUUGUUAGUUUAGAUUAUGGUGGUGCGAUCUCAGCAACUGCAGUAAUUAGGCCAACAACAUCUAUAAAUUCACAUAAAAAUACUAAUUCAGUUCAUGUUUCUACACGUUGCUAUAGUGUUCUUAUUAUUCAUGAAUAUGCACAGCACUCUGUGUUUUGCUCACCUCACAACAUAGUGUUUUGCUCCAUUCCACUGCCAGCAGUGAGGAGUAGAAUGCACUGUAGCAAACAUGAAAAGGUUUUCUGGCCGGGGUGUUACCUCUAUCGAUGUACUCUGAAGCAGAUCCUCUGUGAGAAUGAUCUACUGAUCUGUAGGUUCUCUUGGCAUCAUAAAGAUCAAAUUGCUCGACUGUGUGAGAGCUUUCUCAGUAUACAAAGAACUGACAAUUGCUCUGCUAAACUCUGCCUUUCAAUUAUUGUCCAGAAAA